This 1344-nucleotide ribosomal RNA is filed under the name uncultured bacterium. Its description in RNAcentral is "16S ribosomal RNA". It matches the Rfam family "Bacterial small subunit ribosomal RNA", at positions 28 to 1378 of the family's 1533-position model. The record is from RNAcentral.
GACGAACGCUGGCGGCGAUGCUUAACACAUGCAAGUCGAACGGAAAGGCCCUGCUUUUGUGGGGUGCUCGAGUGGCGAACGGGUGAGUAACACGUGAGUAACCUGCCCUUGACUUUGGGAUAACUUCAGGAAACUGGGGCUAAUACCGGAUAGGAGCUCCUGCUGCAUGGUGGGGGUUGGAAAGUUUCGGCGGUUGGGGAUGGACUCGCGGCUUAUCAGCUUGUUGGUGGGGUAGUGGCUUACCAAGGCUUUGACGGGUAGCCGGCCUGAGAGGGUGACCGGCCACAUUGGGACUGAGAUACGGCCCAGACUCCUACGGGAGGCAGCAGUGGGGAAUAUUGCACAAUGGGCGGAAGCCUGAUGCAGCAACGCCGCGUGCGGGAUGACGGCCUUCGGGUUGUAAACCGCUUUCGCCUGUGACGAAGCGUGAGUGACGGUAAUGGGUAAAGAAGCACCGGCUAACUACGUGCCAGCAGCCGCGGUGAUACGUAGGGUGCGAGCGUUGUCCGGAUUUAUUGGGCGUAAAGGGCUCGUAGGUGGUUGAUCGCGUCGGAAGUGUAAUCUUGGGGCUUAACCCUGAGCGUGCUUUCGAUACGGGUUGACUUGAGGAAGGUAGGGGAGAAUGGAAUUCCUGGUGGAGCGGUGGAAUGCGCAGAUAUCAGGAGGAACACCAGUGGCGAAGGCGGUUCUCUGGGCCUUUCCUGACGCUGAGGAGCGAAAGCGUGGGGAGCGAACAGGCUUAGAUACCCUGGUAGUCCACGCUGUAAACGGUGGGUACUAGGUGUGGGGUCCAUUCCACGGGUUCCGUGCCGUAGCUAACGCUUUAAGUACCCCGCCUGGGGAGUACGGCCGCAAGGCUAAAACUCAAAGGAAUUGACGGGGCCCCGCACAAGCGGCGGAGCAUGCGGAUUAAUUCGAUGCAACGCGUAGAACCUUACCUGGGUUUGACAUGGAUCGGGAGUGCUCAGAGAUGGGUGUGCCUCUUUUGGGGUCGGUUCACAGGUGGUGCAUGGCUGUCGUCAGCUCGUGUCGUGAGAUGUUGGGUUAAGUCCCGCAACGAGCGCAACCCUUGUUCACUGUUGCCAGCACGUUAUGGUGGGGACUCAGUGGAGACCGCCGGGGUCAACUCGGAGGAAGGUGGGGAUGACGUCAAGUCAUCAUGCCCCUUAUGUCCAGGGCUUCACGCAUGCUACAAUGGCUGGUACAGAGAGUGGCGAGCCUGUGAGGGUGAGCGAAUCUCGGAAAGCCGGUCUCAGUUCGGAUUGGGGUCUGCAACUCGACCUCAUGAAGUCGGAGUCGCUAGUAAUCGCAGAUCAGCAACGCUGCGGUGAAUACGUUCCCGGG